Molecule: non-coding RNA, 21 nt
Filed under: Caenorhabditis elegans
Lineage: Eukaryota; Metazoa; Nematoda; Chromadorea; Rhabditida; Rhabditidae
Source: RNAcentral
UGGUUUUCAGUUUCAAAUCAU